RNAcentral lists this long non-coding RNA (3597 nucleotides) under Nasonia vitripennis (jewel wasp). Its description in RNAcentral is "uncharacterized LOC107981976". Lineage: Eukaryota; Metazoa; Arthropoda; Insecta; Hymenoptera; Pteromalidae. The record is from RNAcentral.
ACACAGAAGAGGAAAUAGAUGAAGAUGAAAUUGUAGUUGCAAGUAAGGAUGUGAUAAAGUGCAUAGAUGAUGAUGAUAACGAUGAAAGUAAUAGCCGGCCAAAUUCAAACAAAAUAACUAGUACUAUCCCUCCCAAUUUAGGCCAAGUUAUUUUUAUGAAUGAUAGUAUAGAGCGAGAACUGAAUUAUACUUAUGGUGAUUCAUUGGAACUCUCGUAAGAUGAAAAUGACAACUAUGUAGUAAUAGAGUCUGCACCGCCAGAAAAAAAGCCAAUACUGAUGAUUACAAGGUGAGUGUUAAGGUUUUAUGGAAUUAAAAUAUUGUGAAACGCUUCGAAAUCAAAAGGGUAAGUAAAGAUUUAUCAAUAGCUAAAAUCAGUUAUGAAACUUUAGAAAAGACUAAAGCCGUUUGGCAGAGAACAAGAGAUGCCUUAAUUCCCUUUGUAAAUAUAUUAUCAAAAUAUCUAUAUUUAUUUCACCAGUAGAUAAUCCUCAUCAUUUCUAAUGUGUAAUCAUUUUAUCAUAGUAUACUCAAUGGAACGAUUUGGACUACAUGGAUAACAAAAACGAUUUCACCUACGAUAAAAAUAAAUUCAAAGAUCUUCCAAAUUUCAUUCAAGAAAUCCAUGAUACUGGAAUGCAUUACAUUCCAUUAAUUGAUGCUGGCGUGUUAGCAAAUGAGAAGAAUGGCACGUACAUUCCGUAGGAUGAAGGCGUCAAACGGGGCAUAUUCAUAUUCGAUAGAGAAAGCAAUGAACCAUUUAAAGGAAAAGUAUGGAAUACAGUAUCUACUACUUGGCCCGACUUCACGAACCCAGAAACAACUUCUUAUUAUACAGAAAUGAUGAGCAAUAUGCACAAAGAUUUUGAAUAUGAUGGUGCUUGGAUAGACAUGCAUGAACCGUCCAACUUCUAUAAUGGCCAUAUUAACGGCUGCAACGUUUAUGAUACUAGUCAAGCAGUGGUUGUUAAUCAAACAACGUAUGCAGACUCUUGAUAAGGAAUUCAAGGCUCUGGAAGACGAAUGCAGGAAAGUGAUGAGAAGGUCAAGGUCUCUCAAGACUUGAACUAACAAUUCAAAGAGCAAUGUCGAGUUGCUAUUGCUGACAGCAUUAAUAUAAGGUAUGUGGGCUAGAGGUCGUCAAGGCUGAUCUCAUAACUUACCUGCACUUCCCUAACUCAGAAGAUAUUCAGAUGGCGUCGUUACGCGACUGGAUCGCGAGCUUGAGGCCGCUUCAUGCAUUGGCGCCGAUUUUCGAAAAAUAAAUGAAUAUCGCGCUGGGUUGCUGGAACAAGUCAACGGCUUUUGGAGUCAUUCUGCAGCGAAUCUUCGAACCGAGCACACGCCUUUUGACUUUUACAUUGUUCUAAGCCAUGGAAGCGUUACUUGAGCGUGACUACCGUCUGAAAUUUCCUGAUAUGCUGCAGAUGAUGAGCAUCACGGAUCGUUUGGCAUUAGAGCUGCCUGGGACAAUCAGCAUCAAGACGAGGGACUGGAGUUUUCAGCAGAUAUCUGCGAAAAUCAACCAGCGCUAUCACCGCAGUUUCAAUCGUCGUAUCACGGUUGGUGAUGUCGAAAUCGUCUGGGAUUAUUUUACCGCACAACACAGCCGCAUCCGCGAGUAUUUGCGACUUGGAUACAUCUGGAAAGCUGACUUGGAUUCGAUUCACUGGGCCAUUUACAAAGACCUCCGCAGUAUGCCGAUGUUAAUUUAAGAAUGUGAUUUAAAAAGAACCUACACGCCAUGAGAGUUUUGUGGCAGGAAAAUCAAAAUGCGCAGCAGAUCGCAGAGGCAGUGAAUUGCUCAUUAGCCACCGCUUACAGGUAUGUGCAACGAUUCCAACAAGAAAUGGAUGGUGGAGAAAUAGUUCAAGAUCGACGAAACAACUCUGGCAGGCAUAACAAGAUAUCCGAUGAGGACCUUGUAUUGGUAAUGGCCGCAAUGCAGGAGGAUCCAUUUCGGGCCGUGAAACAUUUGCCAGAAUUAUUGAACCUAGACGUUCAUGAAGAAAUGCUGAGAACAGCUAUAAAAAAAAGGACAAAUCUUACGUAUCGUAAAGCUGCAGUUAAAUUUCAUCUGAACCACCAGGAUGUCAUCGCUCGCCUGCAUUAUGCCAAUACUUAUUUGAAUAGGACUUAGGAGGAAUGGAGAAGAACGAUAUCAAUCGACGAAAAAGUAUUCUCAACUUGUAAGGACGUACAUACUGCAAGGAUAGUGCAAGACUGGUAUGCAAACCAUCCUGAAAUAAGAAGACUGCCACAUCCACCACGUUCACCGGACCUCAACUACAUUGAGAAUGUUUUUGCAACGAUGGUUGCAGAUUGGAGACCUAAUUUUGCCCCAACAGAGGCAGAAUUACUUUGAAGAGUCAGAAAUAGUUGGGAAAGUUUGCAGUUGAAUUUACACUACUUCAGAGACCUCACAAAUUCAAUGCCUCGUAGACUUCAGGCUGUUAUUGACGCCAAUGGAGGGCACAUCAAUUACUAAGAUGGAUGUGUUAUACUUAAAUUGUAAAUAUGUUCUACAAAGUUUUUAUUCAAGAUGUUUAUUUGAAUUGUUGCUUUUAUUAUAAGCAUUAGCAUUAGUAUUUGAUAGAGAAUCAUGCUUGGAGAACCACCAGUUACGACAGGAUAAUUAGAGAGACAGAUUUCAGAUGAAAGGAAUGUUGUUAAUCUUUUUAUAAAAUCACUUUCAUAUUGACUUUUUAUUCACCAGUUGUCACCUCAAAUGAGAGUGCGGGUAAUAAUGACAAGGGUGACAGAUCAGAAAUAGAAGUUGAUGAUCGACAGCAGGAACAAGCUGGUGGAAAAGCAAAUUCUGUAAAAAUACCAGCAAUCAAAGCUACCAAACUGCAAGGUCACGAAUCAGAAGUAUUCAUUUGUGCUUGGAAUCGUACCACCCAUUCGUCGGCAUCUGGAUCUGGAGACAGUGCAGCACGUAUAUGGGAUAUGUCAGAUAAUUCACAAUCCCCCAAUCAACUAGUCUUGAGACAUUGUAUACAAAGGGCAAGUACUUAGCGGCAAGUCUUUAAAAGAAAGAUCAAAGCUUAGUCAGAAAAGAGUGCACAUUGGAUGGAAGCUCUGCUCGUAAAGUAAAGGCUUCAAACAUACUAAAGGCUCAGACAAGAUAGUAUCCAGUUUCAAGAAUCCUACCAUGACUUGCAGCAUGCAGAGGGAGUACACAGACCACAGAGAUGGUGUCUGGGAAGUCUCUGUGAUGAGAUCCAGCCAACCAAUAAUUGCAACAGCAUCUGCUGAUCAUGCAGACCGCAACCCCAGGAAAGUCAAAAUUUAGGGUUUACUUGUUUCCUGAACUCGUUGCUGCAGUCCUUAGCAGCAUGUCCAGCAUUUAUAGAGUGGCUUCGAAGAAGACAGGAGGAUGUAAAGGGAGAAUCAUUUACAAGCAGCUUGAUGUUGGUUAUAGACAAAAUCAAUGGAUUUACAGAUGAUAUGUUUGGAAGCGUGAGGCCAGUUGAAGUAAUUCCUUCUCUGGGUCCUCUCUGGAAUUUCACUCCUAGUUACUUCUACCACCAGUUACUGAUGUAUAUUUUUUUAUCGGAAUUUCAUUCGCAUUAAAUAAAUAAUAUAAUAAAAACA